AUUGAACGCUGGCGGCAGGCCUAACACAUGCAAGUCGAACGAGUGGCGGACGGGUGAGUAAUGUCUGGGAAACUGCCCGAUGGAGGGGGAUAACUACGGGAAACGGUAGCUAAUACCGCAUACCAUCGGAUGUGCCCAGAUGGGAUUAGCUAGUAGGUGGGGUAACGGCUCACCUAGGCGACGAUCCCUAGAUGGUCUGAGAGGAUGACCAGCCACACUGGAACUGAGACACGGUCCAGACUCCUACGGGAGGCAGCAGUGGGGAAUAUUGCACAAGGGGCGCAAGCCUGAGCCAGCCAUGCCACGUGUAUGAAGAAGGCCUUCGGGUUGUAAAGUACUUUCAGCGAGGAGGCUUUACUCGCAGAAGAAGCACCGGCUAACUCCGUGCCAGCAGCCGCGGUAAUAC
This 406-nucleotide ribosomal RNA is filed under the name uncultured bacterium. RNAcentral describes it as "partial 16S ribosomal RNA". It matches the Rfam family "Bacterial small subunit ribosomal RNA", at positions 30 to 526 of the family's 1533-position model. The record is from RNAcentral.